Molecule: ribosomal RNA, 1339 nt
Filed under: metagenome
Description: bacterial LSU rRNA
Rfam family: Bacterial large subunit ribosomal RNA
Source: RNAcentral
AGCCAGCGGAUGGUGACGGAUCGGGUAAAUUGUGCAUCCUUAUCGGAUUGGGUGUGCAGUGAACCGGUUCCAGGAAAUAGCCUCCGCAUGAGACCGUACCCGAAGCCGACACAGGUGGACAGGUAGAGUAUACCAAGGCGCUUGAGAGAACUCUGCUGAAGGAACUCGGCAAAUUGCCUCCGUAACUUCGGGAUAAGGAGGCCCCGGUUGUGGGCAACCAUGAUCGGGGGGCACAAGCCAGGGGGUGGCGACUGUUUAACAAAAACACAGGGCUCUGCGAAGCCGCAAGGCGACGUAUAGGGUCUGACGCCUGCCCGGUGCCGGAAGGUUAAGAGGAGAGGUGCAAGCUUUGAAUCGAAGCCCCGGUAAACGGCGGCCGUAACGAUAACGGUCCUAAGGUAGCGAAAUUCCUUGUCGGGUAAGUUCCGACCUGCACGAUGGCGUAGCGACUUCCCCGCUGUCUCCAGCAGAGACUCAGUGAAAUUGAAUUCCCCGUGAAGAUGCGGGGUUCCUGCGGUUAGACGGAAAGACCCCGUGCACCUUUACUGCAACUUUGCGCUGGCAUUCGUGUCGGCAUGUGUAGGAUAGGUGGUAGGCUUUGAAGCGCGGGCGCCAGCUCGUGUGGAGCCAACCUUGAAAUACCACCCUUAUCGUCAUGGAUGUCUAACUGCGGUUCGACAGGAUCCAGGACAGCGCAUGGUGGGCAGUUUGACUGGGGCGGUCGCCUCCCAAAGAGUAACGGAGGCGCGCGAUGGUGGGCUCAGACCGGUCGGAAAUCGGUCGUCGAGUGCAAUGGCAUAAGCCUGCCUGACUGCGAGACUGACACGUCGAGCAGAGACGAAAGUCGGCCAUAGUGAUCCGGUGGUCCCGCGUGGAAGGGCCAUCGCUCAACGGAUAAAAGGUACGCCGGGGAUAACAGGCUGAUCUUCCCCAAGAGUCCAUAUCGACGGGAAGGUUUGGCACCUCGAUGUCGACUCAUCACAUCCUGGGGCUGGAGCAGGUCCCAAGGGUUCGGCUGUUCGCCGAUUAAAGUGGUACGUGAGUUGGGUUCAGAACGUCGUGAGACAGUUCGGUCCCUAUCUGCCGUGGGUGUUCGAGACUUGAGACGAUCUGUCCUUAGUACGAGAGGACCGGGAUGGACGCACCACUGGUGGACCUGUUGUCCUGCCAAGGGCAGUGCAGGGUAGCUAUGUGCGGACGGGAUAACCGCUGAAGGCAUCUAAGCGGGAAACCCACGUCAAAACAAGGUCUCGCUAAAUAGGGCCGUGGGAGACGACCACGUCGAUAGGCCGGGUGUGUAAGCGCAGCAAUGUGUUCGGCUUACCGGUACUAAUAGCUC